Molecule: ribosomal RNA, 429 nt
Filed under: Bacteroidota bacterium
Lineage: Bacteria; Pseudomonadati; Bacteroidota
Description: Bacteroidetes bacterium partial 16S ribosomal RNA
Rfam family: Bacterial small subunit ribosomal RNA
Source: RNAcentral
UAGGGAAUCUUCGGCAAUGGGGGGAACCCUGACCGAGCAACGCCGCGUGAGUGAAGAAGGUUUUCGGAUCGUAAAGCUCUGUUGUUAAGGAAGAACGAGUGUGAGAAUGGAAAGUUCAUGCUGUGACGGUACUUAACCAGAAAGGGACGGCUAACUACGUGCCAGCAGCCGCGGUAAUACGUAGGUCCCGAGCGUUGUCCGGAUUUAUUGGGCGUAAAGCGAGCGCAGGCGGUUAGAUAAGUCUGAAGUUAAAGGCAGUGGCUCAACCAUUGUAGGCUUUGGAAACUGUUUAACUUGAGUGCAGAAGGGGAGAGUGGAAUUCCAUGUGUAGCGGUGAAAUGCGUAGAUAUAUGGAGGAACACCGGUGGCGAAGGCGACUCUCUGGUCUGUAACUGACGCUGAGGUUCGAAAGCGUGGGUAGCAAACAGG